This 342-nucleotide unclassified non-coding RNA is filed under the name soil metagenome. RNAcentral describes it as "partial contains 5.8S ribosomal RNA, internal transcribed spacer 2, and large subunit ribosomal RNA". The stretch from base 1 to 120 matches the Rfam family "5.8S ribosomal RNA", at positions 35 to 154 of the family's 154-position model. The record is from RNAcentral.
GAUGAAGAACGUAGCGAAACGCGAUAAGUAAUGUGAAUUGCAGAAUCCAGUGAAUCAUCGAAUCUUUGAACGCACAUUGCGCCCGCCAGCAUUCUGGCGGGCAUGCCUGUUCGAGCGUCAUUUCAACCCUCGACCUCCCCUUGGGGAGGUCGGCGUUGGGGACCGGCAGCACACCGCCGGCCCUGAAAUGGAGUGGCGGCCCGUCCGCGGCGACCUCUGCGCAGUAAUACAGCUCGCACCGGGACCCCGACGCGGCCACGCCGUAAAACACCCAACUUCUGAACGUUGACCUCGAAUCAGGUAGGACUACCCGCUGAACUUAAGCAUAUCAAUAAGCGGAGA